RNAcentral lists this ribosomal RNA (465 nucleotides) under uncultured bacterium. Its description in RNAcentral is "partial 16S ribosomal RNA". It matches the Rfam family "Bacterial small subunit ribosomal RNA", at positions 28 to 507 of the family's 1533-position model. The record is from RNAcentral.
GACGAACGCUGGCGGCGUGCUUAACACAUGCAAGUCGAACGGAAAGGCCCUGCUUGCAGGGUACUCGAGUGGCGAACGGGUGAGUAACACGUGGGUGAUCUGCCCUGCACUUCGGGAUAAGCCUGGGAAACUGGGUCUAAUACCGGAUAGGGGCCAUUUUUAGUGUGAUGGUUGGAAAGUUUUUUCGGUGUAGGAUGAGCUCGCGGCCUAUCAGCUUGUUGGUGGGGUAAUGGCCUACCAAGGCGGCGACGGGUAGCCGGCCUGAGAGGGUGGACGGCCACAUUGGGACUGAGAUACGGCCCAGACUCCUACGGGAGGCAGCAGUGGGGAAUAUUGCACAAUGGGUGCAAGCCUGAUGCAGCGACGCCGCGUGGGGGAUGACGGCCUUCGGGUUGUAAACUCCUUUCGCUAGGGACGAAGCUUUUUGUGACGGUACCUAGAUAAGAAGCACCGGCUAACUACGUG